This 124-nucleotide small RNA is filed under the name Marmota monax (woodchuck). Lineage: Eukaryota; Metazoa; Chordata; Mammalia; Rodentia; Sciuridae. The record is from RNAcentral.
GCUGGGCAUGGUGACGCAUAUCUGUAAUCCAGCUGCUUGGGAGGCUGAGGCAGGAGGACUGAGGGUUCAAAGCCAGCCUCAGCAAAAGUGAGGUGCUAAGCAACUCGAUGAGAUCCUGUUUCUA